GAUGAACGCUGGCGGCGUGCUUAACACAUGCAAGUCGAACGAUGAAGCCCAGCUUGCUGGGUGGAUUAGUGGCGAACGGGUGAGUAACACGUGAGUAACCUGCCCUUAACUCUGGGAUAAGCCUGGGAAACUGGGUCUAAUACCGGAUAGGAGCGUCCACCGCAUGGGGGGUGUUGGAAAGAUUUAUCGGUUUUGGAUGGACUCGCGGCCUAUCAGCUUGUUGGUGAGGUAAUGGCUCACCAAGGCGACGACGGGUAGCCGGCCUGAGAGGGUGACCGGCCACACUGGGACUGAGACGAGGCCCAGACUCCUACGGGAGGCAGCAGUGGGGAAUAUUGCACAAUGGGCGCAAGCCUGAUGCAGCGACGCAGCGUGAGGGAUGACGGCCUUCGGGUUGUAAACCUCUUUCAGUAGGGAAGAAGCGAAAGUGACGGUACCUGCAGAAGAAGCACCGGCUAACUACGUG
This 466-nucleotide ribosomal RNA is filed under the name uncultured bacterium. RNAcentral describes it as "partial 16S ribosomal RNA". It matches the Rfam family "Bacterial small subunit ribosomal RNA", at positions 28 to 507 of the family's 1533-position model. The record is from RNAcentral.